CGAAAUGCGAUAAGUAGUGUGAAUUGCAGAAUUCAGUGAAUCAUCGAAUCUUUGAACGCACAUUGCGCCCUUUGGUAUUCCAAAGGGCAUGCCUGUUCGAGCGUCAUUUGUACCCUCAAGCUUUGCUUGGUGUUGGGCGUCUUGUCUCCAGUUCGCUGGAGACUCGCCUUAAAGUAAUUGGCAGCCGGCCUACUGGUUUCGGAGCGCAGCACAAGUCGCGCUCUCUUCCAGCCAAGGUCAGCAUCCACAAAGCCUUUUUUCAACUUUUGACCUCGGAUCAGGUAGGGAUACCCGCUGAACUUAAGC
RNAcentral lists this unclassified non-coding RNA (306 nucleotides) under plant metagenome. RNAcentral's name for it is "partial contains 5.8S ribosomal RNA, internal transcribed spacer 2, and large subunit ribosomal RNA". The stretch from base 1 to 106 matches the Rfam family "5.8S ribosomal RNA", at positions 49 to 154 of the family's 154-position model. The record is from RNAcentral.